AGUGAACGCUGGCGGUAGGCCUAACACAUGCCAGUCGAACGGCAGCACAGUAAGAGCUUGCUCUUACGGGUAGCGAGUGGCGGACGGGUGAGGAAUACAUCGGAAUCUACUUUUUCGUGGGGGAUAACGUAGGGAAACUUACGCUAAUACCGCAUACGACCUACGGGUGAAAGCAGGGGAUCUUCGGACCUUGCGCGAUUGAAUGAGCCGAUGUCGGAUUAGCUAGUUGGCGGGGUAAAGGCCCACCAAGGCGACGAUCCGUAGCUGGUCUGAGAGGAUGAUCAGUCACACUGGAACUGAGACACGGUCCAGACUCCUACGGGAGGCAGCAGUGGGGAAUAUUGGACAAUGGGCGCAAGCCUGAUCCAGCCAUACCGCGUGGGUGAAGAAGGCCUUCGGGUUGUAAAGCCCUUUUGUUGGGAAAGAAAAGCAGCAGGUUAAUACCCCGCUGUUCUGACGGUACCCAAAGAAUAAGCACCGGCUAACUUCGUG
Molecule: ribosomal RNA, 492 nt
Filed under: uncultured bacterium
Lineage: Bacteria
Description: partial 16S ribosomal RNA
Rfam family: Bacterial small subunit ribosomal RNA
Source: RNAcentral